GACGAACGCUGGCGGCGUGCUUAACACAUGCAAGUCGAACGGAAAGGCCCUGGUUUUGUGGGGUGCUCGAGUGGCGAACGGGUGAGUAACACGUGAGUAACCUGCCCUGGACUUUGGGAUAACUUCAGGAAACUGGGGCUAAUACCGGAUAGGAGCUCCUGCUGCAUGGUGGGGGUUGGAAAGUUUGGGCGGUUGGGGAUGGACUCGCGGCUUAUCAGCUUGUUGGUGGGGUAGUGGCUUACCAAGGCUUUGACGGGUAGCCGGCCUGAGAGGGUGACCGGCCACAUUGGGACUGAGAUACGGCCCAGACUCCUACGGGAGGCAGCAGUGGGGAAUAUUGCACAAUGGGCGGAAGCCUGAUGCAGCAACGCCGCGUGCGGGAUGACGGCCUUCGGGUUGUAAACCGCUUUCGCCUGUGACGAAGCGUGAGUGACGGUAAUGGGUAAAGAAGCACCGGCUAACUACGUG
This 468-nucleotide ribosomal RNA is filed under the name uncultured bacterium. RNAcentral's name for it is "partial 16S ribosomal RNA". It matches the Rfam family "Bacterial small subunit ribosomal RNA", at positions 28 to 507 of the family's 1533-position model. The record is from RNAcentral.